Molecule: ribosomal RNA, 429 nt
Filed under: Gemmatimonadota bacterium
Lineage: Bacteria; Pseudomonadati; Gemmatimonadota
Description: Gemmatimonadetes bacterium partial 16S ribosomal RNA
Rfam family: Bacterial small subunit ribosomal RNA
Source: RNAcentral
UAGGGAAUCUUCGGCAAUGGACGAAAGUCUGACCGAGCAACGCCGCGUGAGUGAAGAAGGUUUUCGGAUCGUAAAACUCUGUUGUUAGAGAAGAACAAGGACGUUAGUAACUGAACGUCCCCUGACGGUAUCUAACCAGAAAGCCACGGCUAACUACGUGCCAGCAGCCGCGGUAAUACGUAGGUGGCAAGCGUUGUCCGGAUUUAUUGGGCGUAAAGCGAGCGCAGGCGGUUUCUUAAGUCUGAUGUGAAAGCCCCCGGCUCAACCGGGGAGGGUCAUUGGAAACUGGGAGACAUGAGUGCAGAAGAGGAGAGUGGAAUUCCAUGUGUAGCGGUGAAAUGCGUAGAUAUAUGGAGGAACACCAGUGGCGAAGGCGGCUCUCUGGUCUGUAACUGACGCUGAGGCUCGAAAGCAUGGGGAGCAAACAGG